This is a long non-coding RNA of Osmia lignaria (orchard mason bee), 1026 nucleotides long. RefSeq lists it as uncharacterized. Lineage: Eukaryota; Metazoa; Arthropoda; Insecta; Hymenoptera; Megachilidae. The record is from RefSeq and is a predicted model, not a curated record.
GACACAGUGGCCUAGACAAGUAGGUCGCGGCGCAGUUCUCGCGACACGAGCUCGCGUGCGCGAGACCGCGACGUCUGUGUCGGUGUGCACAGCUAGGCGAGUGAACGCCGAGCGAAGCGUGUCGCUGCGAGUGUGACCGUGCUCCUACACCAUCGCACACGAACGCGUCCACUCUGGAGAAUAAUUAACUCCCGGACGACGGACCAUGGCGAGAGCCCCAAUUUCAUUCUUCCAUCCGAUUGUUCAAAAAUAAAUUCAAGAUCAACAGGGAUCAUUAAUGAUAUUAUAAUUGAACUUUUUAAUACAAUGCUUGUUCAUUUGUGUCGGGGAAGUAAAAGAAAAAGAAAAAGAAAACUGCGCAAUCUAAGAAAGAGUAUACGUAGAUAAUUUGGUACGGAAAAGCAAAAAAAAAAGAAGUCAUUUCAGAAGACUGAUGAUCUUUGUUAGAACGAAAUGCUGUAAAGGUUAAUGAACUUGGUUGCUGAAGCUGAUUCUCAUUGAGACACGAGCGAUCAAGAGGAUAGGUAGAUUAGUAAAUCCGGAAACAGCUAAUACCAUUUGGUACGGUCGCAUUAGUCAAAAAGUCAAGACCACCGACGAAAGGAAAGAAAAGCAACGUUCAUUAGCACUUGCUUAACACGUUGAUUGCCAUGGUGACGCAACUUUGGAAAUUAGAAUGAUUAAAGACACGAACGUUUAAUUAUUCAAUUUAACAUUUCAGUUUGCCCCAUCACGACGUUUAACUAAUGUUAACUUUUGCAAUUUUCUUUUUAUAAUUCUUCAAUUAACCCCAUCGGCGCAGAGUUCCACAGUAACCACAGAACGUUAUUUAAUAUUACCCAACUCUAAAUUAUACAUUGUAUCAGCAAUCCUCGUUAUUUAAAUAAACAAUACAAAUACGUAGCUUGGUCUAGCGUUAUUUUCUCUGCAGUUUCUCGCGGGAUAGCCGAGCAGCUUGAUGCAGGAAAUUGGCUACCGUGAAUCCCCCGGGGAAUAUCAAGUAAAUCGAGACGAGGAUCGUGUUGG